This 864-nucleotide ribosomal RNA is filed under the name Ophiocordyceps barnesii. Its description in RNAcentral is "partial large subunit ribosomal RNA". It matches the Rfam family "Eukaryotic large subunit ribosomal RNA", at positions 72 to 935 of the family's 3401-position model. The record is from RNAcentral. Lineage: Eukaryota; Fungi; Ascomycota; Sordariomycetes; Hypocreales; Ophiocordycipitaceae.
GGAUUGCCCCAGUAACGGCGAGUGAAGCGGCAACAGCUCAAAUUUGAAAUCCGGCCGCCCCCCGGGGGGCCCGAGUUGUACUUUGCAGAGGACGCUUCUCGGCGCGGCGCCUUCCGAGUCCCCCUGGAACGGGGCGCCGCAGAGGGUGAGAGCCCCGUACGGUCGGCCGCCGCGCCCCCUGUGAAGCCCCCUCGACGAGUCGAGUAGUUUGGGAAUGCUGCUCAAAGCGGGAGGUAUAUGCCUUCUAAAGCUAAAUACCGGCCAGAGACCGAUAGCGCACAAGUAGAGUGAUCGAAAGAUGAAAAGCACUUUGGAAAGAGGGUUAAACAGUACGUGAAAUUGUUGAAAGGGAAGCGCUCGUGGCCAGACUCGGGCCCGGCGGACCUCCCGGCGCUCGCCGCCGGGGCACUCCGCCGGGCGCGGGCCAGCAUCGGCUCGCCGCGGGGGACGAAGGCGCCGGGAACGUGGCUCCCCCGGGAGUGUUACAGCCCGGCGCGCAACGCCCCGCGGGCGGGCCGAGGCGCGCGCACCGCAAGGAUGCUGGCGUAAUGGCCACCAGCGACCCGUCUUGAAACACGGACCAAGGAGUCGUCCUCGCAUGCGAGUGUUCGGGCGUCAAACCCCAGCGCGUAAUGAAGGUGAACGCGGGUGGGAGCCCCCCCCCCCCCCCGGGGGGGGCGGCGCACCAUCGACCGAACCCCGAUGUACUCGGACGGGUUUGAGUGGGAGCAUGCGGGGCCGGACCCGAAAGAAGGUGAACUAUGCCUGUGUAGGGUGAAGCCAGAGGAAACUCUGGUGGAGGCUCGCAGCGGUUCUGACGUGCAAAUCGAUCGUCAAACAUGGGCAUGGGGGCGAAAGACUAAU